RNAcentral lists this ribosomal RNA (908 nucleotides) under uncultured bacterium. Its description in RNAcentral is "bacterial SSU rRNA". It matches the Rfam family "Bacterial small subunit ribosomal RNA", at positions 9 to 873 of the family's 1533-position model. The record is from RNAcentral.
GAGUUUGAUCCUGGCUCAGAACGAACGCUGGCGGCGCGUUUUAAGCAUGCAAGUCGAGCGGUAAGCUAACUUCGGUUAGCCUAGAGCGGCGGACGGGUGAGUAACACGUGGAUAAUCUACCUCCUUGUUUGGGAUAGCUUGUGGAAACAUAAGGUAAUACCGAAUGAGAUUCAUUAGUCAAAAGGCUUCUGAAGGAAAGGCGCUGAGGCGUCGCAAGGAGAUGAGUCCGCGGCCCAUUAGCUAGACGGCAGGGUAAAAGCCUACCGUGGCAAUGAUGGGUAGCCGGCCUGAGAGGGUGAUCGGCCACAUUGGAACUGAGAUACGGUCCAGACUCCUACGGGGGGCAGCAGCUAAGAAUCUUCCGCAAUGGACGAAAGUCUGACGGAGCGACGCCGCGUGAACGAUGAAGGCCGUGAGGUUGUAAAGUUCUUUUCGAGAGGAGGAAUAAGGUUUGCAGGGAAUGGCAGACUGAUGACGUUAAUCUCGGAAUAAGCCCCGGCUAACUACGUGCCAGCAGUCGCGGUAACACGUAGGGGGCAAGCGUUGUUCGGAAUUAUUGGGCGUAAAGGGCGUGCAGGCGGCCUUGCAAGUCUGACGUGAAAGAUCUCGGCUUAACCGAGGGAACGCGUUGGAAACUGUAAGGCUUGAGUACAGAAAGGGAUAUUGGAAUUCCAGGUGUAGGGGUGAAAUCUGUAGAUAUCUGGAAGACACCGGUGGCGAAGGCGAAUAUCUGGUCAUGUACUGACGCUGAGACGCGAAGUGCGGGGGAGCAAACGGGUUUAGAUACCCUGGUAGUCCGCACAGUAAACGAUGUACACUAGGUGUCAGUCUNNGACUUGGUACCGAGCUACGCAUUAGUGUACCGCCUGGGAGUAUGCUNCGCAGAGUGAACUCAAGAUNACGNNGNG